CCCCAGACUCCUACGGGAGGCAGCAGUGGGGAAUAUUGCACAAUGGGGGAAACCCUGAUGCAGCGACGCCGCGUGAGUGAAGAAGUAAUUCGUUAUGUAAAGCUCUAUCAGCAGGGAAGAAAAUGACGGUACCUGAGUAAGAAGCCCCGGCUAACUACGUGCCAGCAGCCGCGGUAAUACGUAGGGGGCAAGCGUUAUCCGGAUUUACUGGGUGUAAAGGGAGCGUAGACGGCAGUGCAAGUCUGGAGUGAAAGGCGGGGGCUCAACCCCCGGACUGCUCUGGAAACUGUACGGCUGGAGUGCAGGAGAGGUAAGUGGAAUUCCUAGUGUAGCGGUGAAAUGCGUAGAUAUCAGGAGGAACACCGGCGGCGAAGGCGGCCUGCUGGACCGCGACUGACGUUGAGGCUCGAAAGCGUGGGGAGCAAACAGGAUUAGAUACCCCAGUAAC
RNAcentral lists this ribosomal RNA (448 nucleotides) under uncultured bacterium. Its description in RNAcentral is "bacterial SSU rRNA". It matches the Rfam family "Bacterial small subunit ribosomal RNA", at positions 329 to 794 of the family's 1533-position model. The record is from RNAcentral.